This 1437-nucleotide ribosomal RNA is filed under the name Acinetobacter baumannii 756476. Its description in RNAcentral is "bacterial LSU rRNA". It matches the Rfam family "Bacterial large subunit ribosomal RNA", at positions 1513 to 2925 of the family's 2925-position model. Lineage: Bacteria; Pseudomonadati; Pseudomonadota; Gammaproteobacteria; Moraxellales; Moraxellaceae. The record is from RNAcentral.
AAAGGAUGUAGGCAUGUAUCUUAGGCAAAUCCGGGGUACUCUAUGCUGAGAUCUGAUAGCAAGCUGUACUUGUACAGCGAAGUGGUUGAUGCCAUGCUUCCAGGAAAAGUCUCUAAGCUUCAGUUACACAGGAAUCGUACCCGAAACCGACACAGGUGGUCAGGUCGAGUAGACCAAGGCGCUUGAGAGAACUCUGCUGAAGGAACUAGGCAAAAUGGUACCGUAACUUCGGGAGAAGGUACGCUGUUGUUGGUGAUGGAACUCGCUUCCUGAGCUGACGACAGCCGCAGAAACCAGGCCGCUGCAACUGUUUAUUAAAAACAUAGCACUCUGCAAACACGAAAGUGGACGUAUAGGGUGUGAUGCCUGCCCGGUGCUGGAAGGUUAAUUGAUGGGGUUAGCGUAAGCGAAGCUCUUGAUCGAAGCCCCAGUAAACGGCGGCCGUAACUAUAACGGUCCUAAGGUAGCGAAAUUCCUUGUCGGGUAAGUUCCGACCUGCACGAAUGGCAUAAUGAUGGCGGCGCUGUCUCCAGCAGAGGCUCAGUGAAAUCGAAAUCGCUGUGAAGAUGCAGUGUACCCGCGGCUAGACGGAAAGACCCCGUGAACCUUUACUGCAGCUUGACACUGAACUUUGACCUUACUUGUGUAGGAUAGGUGGGAGGCUUUGAAGCUGGAACGCUAGUUCCAGUGGAGCCGUCCUUGAAAUACCACCCUGGUAAUGUUGAGGUUCUAACUCUGUCCCGUGAUCCGGGACGAGGACCGUGUCUGGUGGGUAGUUUGACUGGGGCGGUCUCCUCCUAAAGAGUAACGGAGGAGUACGAAGGUGCGCUCAGCGUGGUCGGAAAUCACGCGUAGAGUAUAAAGGCAAAAGCGCGCUUAACUGCGAGACCCACAAGUCGAGCAGGUACGAAAGUAGGUCUUAGUGAUCCGGUGGUUCUGUAUGGAAGGGCCAUCGCUCAACGGAUAAAAGGUACUCUGGGGAUAACAGGCUGAUACCGCCCAAGAGUUCAUAUCGACGGCGGUGUUUGGCACCUCGAUGUCGGCUCAUCUCAUCCUGGGGCUGAAGCAGGUCCCAAGGGUAUGGCUGUUCGCCAUUUAAAGAGGUACGCGAGCUGGGUUUAGAACGUCGUGAGACAGUUCGGUCCCUAUCUCCCGUGGGCGCUGGAAAUUUGAGAGGAUCUGCUCCUAGUACGAGAGGACCAGAGUGGACGAACCUCUGGUGUACCGGUUGUGACGCCAGUCGCAUCGCCGGGUAGCUAUGUUCGGAAGGGAUAACCGCUGAAAGCAUCUAAGCGGGAAGCCUACCUCAAGAUAAGAUUUCCCUAGGACUUUAUGUCCUCUAAAGAGCCGUUCGAGACUAGGACGUUGAUAGGUUGGAUGUGGAAGCAUAGUGAUAUGUGAAGCUGACCAAUACUAAUUGCUCGUGAGGCUUGACUA